Molecule: transfer RNA, 96 nt
Organism: Puccinia sorghi
Lineage: Eukaryota; Fungi; Basidiomycota; Pucciniomycetes; Pucciniales; Pucciniaceae
Rfam family: tRNA
About the family: Transfer RNA (tRNA) molecules are approximately 80 nucleotides in length. Their secondary structure includes four short double-helical elements and three loops (D, anti-codon, and T loops).
Source: Rfam
GCCCGGCUAGCUCAGUUGGUAGAGCAUUCGACUCUUACGGAGUUCUUCGAGGGCAUAGUCAUCGAAUUGUCGUGGGUUCGAGCCCCACGUUGGGCG